RNAcentral lists this ribosomal RNA (441 nucleotides) under uncultured bacterium. RNAcentral's name for it is "partial 16S ribosomal RNA". It matches the Rfam family "Bacterial small subunit ribosomal RNA", at positions 338 to 795 of the family's 1533-position model. The record is from RNAcentral.
CCUACGGGGGGCAGCAGUGGGGGAUAUUGCACAAUGGGGGGAACCCUGAUGCAGCGACGCCGCGUGGGUGAAGGAGUGCUUCGGCAUGUAAAGCCCUAUCGGCAGGGAAGAAGCAAGACGGUACCUGACUAAGAAGCCCCGGCUAACUACGUGCCAGCAGCCGCGGUAAUACGUAGGGGGCGAGCGUUAUCCGGCUUCACUGGGUGUAAAGGGAGCGUAGACGGCCAUGCAAGCCAGGGGUGAAAGCCCGGGGCCCAACCCCGGGACUGCCCUUGGAACUGUGCGGCUAGAGUGCGGGAGGGGCAGGCGGAAUUCCUGGUGUAGCGGUGAAAUGCGUAGAUAUCAGGAGGAAAACCGGCGGCGAAGGCGGCCUGCUGGACCGCGACUGACGUUGAGGCUCGAAAGCGUGGGGAGCGAACAGGAUUAGAUACCCGUGUAGUC